GUGCAACAAAAUAUCAAAUCCUGCUUUAACCUAACAAAUUGACAUUAGAGGUAGGUAGCUACACUGCCUCCAAGUCUAAGCGCAUCUUCGUCCUGUCACAAACAACUAGUCUGCACCGAAACUUCCUUGAUUUUCAUGGUUUCCAGCCUUGAAUAAUGUUUAACACUCUGAGUUUAAGCACUGCCUCCAUAUUCCUAAUCUCUGCGACAUCUUCUUUUAUCAAUUUUGCUGCACUGGAUUCCCCCCUGCUGCUGCUAACUCUUCUAACUCUUGCAAUGCUGCCAGAGCAAUUGCUGGCGAUUCAGCAUUUAAGCAUGGCUUCAGCGCAUUCGCUGCUUCCUUGAUUCUUGAUUGCUGCCAAUGUUUUCAAAAUGGAUUAUAUCAACACAAUGGUACAAGAGUGGAUUAAAUUAAAAUACUACUUGUCUGACAGAGACUUACCAUGUGUUCAAGUUUCCCCUUUAGUUCUUCAUAGGCCACCACCAACUUGGGGUCCGAAACUGCAGGGGAUGUCACAUUCUAGGAAACAGGAUAUUUGCACAGAUUAAAUUGGGAAUAAUUCAAAUAUGUGAAAAUAGUUGCAAAAAACUCCAAUGCGUCAGAUCUAUCAUUGCCAUUUUCCAUCCCAAGCCAAAGAAAGAAUAACAAAGUUGAAAGAAAACCUUUCAUAUACAGAGGCAAUUUCCUAUUGGUUCAAGACCACUCUCUCAAACAGAGAUAAAUAUUCCUUUUUUUUCAUUGGUAAGCAUCAUCAUAUCUUCUGUGUUAAUUUAUUUAUCUAUCUACCCAAUUUUAUUUUUUUUGCCAAGUAUAAAUCAUCACUAUAUCUCAUAGAUUCCAAAUCAACAAAUAUUCUUUUUAUCAGUAACCAAACCAACAAAAUAUUCUUUUUAUCAGUAACCAAAUCAACAAAUAUAUGUUCUGCUCAUUUUGUAUGAAGUAUAGAAUUCAUGCCGUCCUCCAAUCCUCACCCUAACAUAUUCAAAUAAAAAAUCUUGUUUCAUUUCAGCAAGAAACACUACAGUUUGCCAAUGUUUUUAGGCAAAGUUAAAGCAGAGAUCGAGAGGUCAUCUUCUCUUCCCCAGGAAAACAAAUACACACAUGUUUGCCACUUAAGCUUUCACAUGUACAAAACUGGGAACACCGGAAUAAAACGCCAGAGAGACAAUGAGUUUCAACAGUUUCAAAUAUGAAAUAAACAAAAGUUACACGACAGAAAAUGUUGUUGGCAGCAAAGGUAAAGAAUGCGCUGGCCGCUGGAGGCUUAAAACCAAAAGACAAGUUAGGAAAUUCAGUUAUCCAGAGACCAACUUCCACAUAUACGGAGUAAUAUACUUCUUCGCUUCAGUUAAUUUCAAUUUAUUUAAUUGCCAAAUUAGAGGAAAUUUCCUUUGAAGCAUUCAAGUAAUCUAUAAGUUAGUUCUUUAUAAUCAAUUGUCACCUAUCUCUACUUUUCACCCAAGCUAAUUGUUUCUUCCUCAUUCUCGUGCUCUUCUAAUAACCAAGAAGCCGUGAUCGAGCCAAUACUAAGCAACAGUGAAAAUGAAAAUACACGACAGUGAAUUUUACAUAUAGCUGUUAGAACUUUUUUUUAAGGAAAAAAGGUGUUACCCAACUUUAUUUCUAUUUCUCAUCCAGAAUGGAUACUCGAUAGCUCUAUUUUGAAGAUCAUCAAUUAGUUACUAAUUAUAUCGUGAGAUAUUAUUUCCACUAAAAGUUAGGUGACUGUACUCCUCCUCUAGGGAGCGUCACAUAUUAAAUUUGUACAGUUUUUGCCUUCCUCAUUCUCUUUAAUUGUACUUAUAUACUAAUCACAACCUAUAUCCAAAAAAUAGACGAUGCAUGAUUACCUUUCCAUUUUUGGUUCAUUUAUUGUUUCUACUAAUCAAGCUAAACAAAACAUGAUCCAGGGAAAAAGAAUUCAACACUUCUUUUACUUCCCAUAAUUUCCUCACUCUCACAAACUGUAUUCAUGUACUAAUUACCACCUAUAUAUGUUUUAAAAAAUGGGCAAUAAUUAAUAUCUUUUCUUUUAUAAGGGAUAAUAAAUAAUAUUUUGGAUCUUUUACCUUAAUCUAUAGUAAAAAGGAGAAUCAUAAUAUGGCUAAGAAAGGAAAGAAAAAACUAAACUAACAUCCCUAGUAUUAUUAUGCAACCACAAAACUUCCCAUAUUUUUAUGCAAAAAAGCACAAAUACCAAAAGAUAACCCCGUGUACUAUGGAGAUCCUACACAAAUAUUAGCUUGAACAAUAUUUCCAAUUGCGUUAGGUGUUUAGUUUUGAAAAGCAUGAGGUAUACCCGUAAUUAAAUAUAUUACAAUAUAAUUACUAAAAACAAAUUAAAAUUACAAAUAAAGAGUUUAUAUGUAUUUAAGUUUAUCAAAUUUAAGAAGAUAAAAUAUAGGGAUAACAUCAUUAUAUUUGUGUACAAUUUUCAAUGUCUAAGGGAUAUAAGUGUAAGAUUUUAAAAUAAAGGGGUGUAGUAUAUGUAAUUGAGUCACAUCAUAGAGGAGUUUAGUGCAAUUUACCCUAUAAAUAUAGCCUAUAGCAAAUGUUUUAGNNNNNNNNNNNNNNNNNNAUUCUCCGAAUAAUAAUGAACCAAAAGACCAACAAAUAGGUGCUAAAACAUUUGCUAUAGGCUAUAUUUAUAGUGUAAUGAACCAAGAGACCAACAAAUAUCACCAUUCGUGGUUCCUUCCCUGCUGGUUUACAGCGCAGGUUGGGUGCAAUCACCACCAAGGCACUAACGCAUAAUGAGAUAUUACGGGUCUAUUUGAAAAGCCAUCAGGUAAUUGGAAUUGAUGUAAUUACUAAUUACACAACUGUGUAAUUACUUGUCACAGUGUAAUUGUAAUUACAAGUUUCUUGUUUGGUUGCAUAAGUGUAAUUACAAAGUUCGAUUAAAUUUUAAAUGAAGUAAUUAUCAAAAUUUAAAAGUUAAUAUUCCCUCUAUUCAAGUUUAUGUGAACUUAUUUCCUUUUUGGUCCGUUCCAAAAAGAAUGACCUCUUUCUAAAUUUGAAAACAAUUUUGCUUAAACUUACAAUUUUACCCCUUAAUGAGAAGACGCAAAUACUCUGGCCCCUUUUUGACUUGUUUAGGACCACAAAUUUCAAAAGUCUUUCAUUUUUUCUUAAACUACGUGAUCAGUCAAGCAUGUUCACAUAAAUUGGUAAAUUGGAACAGAGGGAGUAUAAUAAAUAUAGCCUAUAAUUUAUAAGUAUUAUAUUUGGUAUUUAAUAUAUAUUUUCUCCGUGAAUAUACAUUAAUUAACAAUCAUAUAUUUAUAACAAAUAUUGUAAACAUAUAUAUAUAUUCCAAAUUAAUAAUAUUUAAUUUAGAUACUUAACAACAACAACAACAACAACCACCCACUAAAAUCCCACUAAUGGGGUCUGGGGAGGGUAAUGUGUACGCACAUUUUACCCUUACCCCUAGCCCGAAGGAGUAGAGAGAUGUUUCCGAAAGACCCUCGGCUCAAAAAGACAAAAAGGAGACAAUAUUAGUAUCACAACAGCAAUCAUAAGAAAAAUAGGAACAUUAUAAAAUCCAGAAGAAAGAUGCAAAGCAAAGGGAGACAAUAUUAGUAUCACCACAACAAUCAUAAGAAAAAUAGGAACACCGUGAAAUCUAGAAGAAAGAUGCUUACAAAAACUAAAAACAUAUGUUCCAUAAGAACAUCAUGGAAUUCAUGUUUGAUAAAAUAAAUUAAUAUUUAUAAAUAUAAUGUCAUAACAUUAUUCAAAUAUUUGAUAAAAUUAAUCUAUCAAUUCUAACUAAAAAAUGAAGAACAUGCAAUGUGAGCCAAUACUACUAAAAUAAGUAAAUUGGAACGAUGAAUAUAACACAAUUUCAAAAUCCCACCAAAACAAUAGCUUACCUUAUGUCAAAUUCUAACGUAAUAAUAGUAAGUUCCAAAGCUUAAGAUUAGGAAACAUAAUAAGUUUAUAACCACAUUCAACAACGUAAUUGCAUCAUUCAUUAUAUUCCAAGUUUGUUAUUGACUCAUUAUUUCUAAUAUUAGGAGGUGUAGCUUCAAAAAAUAAAAUAAUAAAAUAAAUAAAAAAUAAAAUAUAGGCAAUUACAUGAAAUCACAAGAAGUAAAGGUAGAGAAAUAAAAGAUAAAUAAUGUACAAGGAAAAAUAUAUUUUAAAAUUUCAAAAGAAUUUAAAUGUAAAAAUAAAUUUAAAAAGUAAAAUAAUAGAAAUAAAAAGUUAUAAAGAAAAUAAAUUAAAAUAAAAACAGAAAAGGAAAGAAACUAAAAUGCAAUACCACCAAUUCUUACCUCCCAUGAGAAUUAGAGAGUGUAAUUACACCCAAUUCUAUGAUGACCAAGUAAUUACUUGGCCAAACAAACAUGCCAAACUGUGCAAUUACACUCAAUUACACCCAACUCCAUUUCCAUGGUGGCUUUCCAAACAGGCUCUAAAUAAAGCAAGUAAAUACCAUAGUAGUAGUUAUACCUUUCUAGGUCGACCCAGAGGUUUUCCAGAAAGCUUCCUGGGUCUCUUAACAGUAGGAGCAGCGGCUGCAGCGCCGUAAGAUUUUGGAGGCCGUCCACGUCGCUUUCCGAGGGGAGGCAGAGCCCCAUUAUUUGUGACACCGCCACCACCAACAGCAUUAGGCAAGUUUUCCGUAUCAAAAGCAGCAGCAAUAGGCACAUCUGUAACACCCACAGUAGCAGCAGGAGGUCCACUAGACCUUGGUGGCCGUCCCCUUCGUUUAGGUGUUGUUAUGGCUCCCGGGACACCACCAGCUGGAACAUUGGUCACAUUGGCACCAACAGAAGGAAUAUUUGCGACAUUGGCACCGCCAUUGGCAGCAGCAACAGCCGCAUUCUUCCUGGGCCGACCUCGUCGUCCAGGAACAGAAUUUUUCCUGGGCCGACCUCGUCGUCCAGAACCCAUAGCUGAUCCAGGAGCAGCAUUAACUGUCACACUCUUAGGAGGACGACCAGGUCUCCUCUUACUACCACCGCUCUGGUCCGGUAAUUUGGGUUCCACCGGUUUAACCACAGUGGAACCAUCCUUACGGGGACGACCUGGUCGUCUCUUUGCCGUACUCUCUUCAGCUCCCGGUGCCGGAGCCAGCCCAACAGCAGGAUUCUGAACUCCAACAGGCCCAUCAGCUAGCCCAAGAGAAACAAACACGGAUUCAGCGCCAAGGCCAGCAUAAUUAUGGCCUUCAGGAGUAGCAUAGGCCUGCGUCUGUGGCUGGGUCUGGAACUGUUGCUGAGGUUGGAGUAAUGGGUCGGGCUGGAACUGUUGUUGAGGUAAGUACUGGGGCUGUUGUUGGAUGAGUUGGAAUUGAGGUUGAAACUGGGCUGCUUGCUGCUGUUGGGCUUGAAGUUGGGCUUGAAGCUGGGCUUGAAGCUGAGCUUGGAAUUGGUCUUGAAAUUGGACUUGAGCUUGGACUUGAGGCUGAGCAUGAGGUUGGGCCUCAGGCUUGAGCUUAGGAGGACGACCAGGUUUCCUUUUAGAAAGAGAAGAAACAUCAGUACCAACACCGUUGGAAUCGGCGUCGGCGGAAGGAGGCGGAGGAGCAGAUCCAGGUGGUCCGGCGAGCAUGUAAGAGUGUUUGACCAUAGCAAGGUAACCACUGUUCUUCAAACGCUU
RNAcentral lists this long non-coding RNA (5613 nucleotides) under Nicotiana tabacum (common tobacco). RNAcentral's name for it is "long non-coding RNA (NTAB_LNC000714)". Lineage: Eukaryota; Viridiplantae; Streptophyta; Magnoliopsida; Solanales; Solanaceae. The record is from RNAcentral.